This 612-nucleotide long non-coding RNA is filed under the name Nicotiana benthamiana. Its description in RNAcentral is "long non-coding RNA (NBEN_LNC015964)". The record is from RNAcentral. Lineage: Eukaryota; Viridiplantae; Streptophyta; Magnoliopsida; Solanales; Solanaceae.
GCUGAAGAAACGACAUAUAUAUAUAUCACAAUAGAUGUAAAAGAAUGCUGGGACAAAUUGGAUUAUUAAGUUACAAGUAUUACCGACAUGUGGCUUCAUAAAUUUAAGAAUGAAUGUGCACUUGGACACCAAUAAAUGAGUCGAGACAAAAGAAAUGCAAUAAUUUGGUAUCAUGAAACCCUCAUAGUACUAUUUCAUCACUUGUGGAAUUGGAAUCAUCAUCCAUUUUCUCCUACAUUUGGAGUGGAUAAUAAAACUGAGAACCAUGCCAAAGAUAUCUUUGGAAGUUUAAUAUGCAAGUAUUAUAAUUCCAAAAAAAACUGACUCAAGGCUAAAUCUGCCAACAGUGCAGUUUGUUUCAAUGAGCCUUCACAUUACACUACUGUAGUUUGUUGCUUGGUCCAAGAUCAUAGAUCUUCUUAACAAAACUUGGAAAUCUCCCAUUUCUCAGGGAAAAGCCAAAUGCUUACAAUAUACUACUAGAUUUAACACCAAGGGAGAACAGUACACAUCAAGCAAUAUCUUACUUAGAAUAGUCAUCAAUGAAUGUCCUCCCCUUUGGCAGUCACCACAUUUACAAUCUCAUUUCAAGGAUGAGAAUUAUGAGCAAUG